Molecule: ribosomal RNA, 371 nt
Filed under: uncultured Glomus
Lineage: Eukaryota; Fungi; Glomeromycota; Glomeromycetes; Glomerales; Glomeraceae
Description: SSU rRNA
Rfam family: Eukaryotic small subunit ribosomal RNA
Source: RNAcentral
AGCAGCCGCGGUAAUUCCAGCUCCAAUAGCGUAUAUUAAAGUUGUUGCAGUUAAAAAGCUCGUAGUUGAAUUUCGGGGUUAGUAGGUUGGUCGUGCCACUGGUAUGCACUGGCCUCACUGAUUCCUCCUUCUUGAAGAACUGUAAUGCCAUUAAUUUGGUGUUGCAGGGAAACAGGACUGUUACUUUGAAAAAAUUAGAGUGUUUAAAGCAGGCUAACGCUUGAAUACAUUAGCAUGGAAUAAUGAAAUAGGACGUUCGAUCCUAUUUUGUGGUUUCUAGGAUUGACGUAAUGAUUAAUAGGGAUAGUUGGGGGCAUUAGUAUUCAAUUGUCAGAGGUGAAAUUCUUGGAUUUAUUGAAGACUAACUACUG